RNAcentral lists this long non-coding RNA (258 nucleotides) under Homo sapiens (human). RNAcentral describes it as "HSALNT0379904". The record is from RNAcentral. Lineage: Eukaryota; Metazoa; Chordata; Mammalia; Primates; Hominidae.
ACUUUUUUUUUUUUUUUUUUUUUUUUGAGACAGGGUCUCACUCUGUUGCUCAGGCCGGAGUGCAGUGGCAUGAACAAAGCUCGCUGCAGCCUCGAACUCCUGGGCUUGAAUGAUCCUCCACCUCAUCCUCUUGAGUAGAUGGGACUACAGGCAUGUGCCACCACAUCUGGGUGCCUGUGUUAGUAAGAACAUUCCCUUUAUGCAAAAUUUGUUUGGUGUUUUUACUGCGAGUGGGUUUUUGAAUUGGAAAGUGUUUAU